RNAcentral lists this ribosomal RNA (465 nucleotides) under uncultured Gaiellaceae bacterium. RNAcentral describes it as "bacterial SSU rRNA". It matches the Rfam family "Bacterial small subunit ribosomal RNA", at positions 338 to 796 of the family's 1533-position model. The record is from RNAcentral. Lineage: Bacteria; Bacillati; Actinomycetota; Thermoleophilia; Gaiellales; Gaiellaceae.
CCUACGGGUGGCAGCAGUGGGGAAUCUUGCGCAAUGGGCGAAAGCCUGACGCAGCGACGCCGCGUGCGGGAAGAAGGCCUUCGGGUUGUAAACCGCUUUCAGGAGGGACGAAGCCACUCGGGUGAAUAGCCCAGAGGGUGACGGUACCUCCAGAAGAAGCCCCGGCUAACUACGUGCCAGCAGCCGCGGUAAUACGUAGGGGGCAAGCGUUGUCCGGAUUUAUUGGGCGUAAAGAGCGUGUAGGCGGCCAGGUAGGUCGGUUGUGAAAACUGGAGGCUCAACCUUCAGACGUCGACCGAAACCCCCUGGCUAGAGUCCGGGAGAGGAGAGUGGAAUUCCUGGUGUAGCGGUGGAAUGCGCAGAUAUCAGGAAGAACACCCGUGGCGAAAGCGGCUCUCUGGAACGGUACUGACGCUGAGACGCGAAAGCGUGGGGAGCGAACAGGAUUAGAUACCCGUGUAGUCG